GACCGACCUCGGGAGCUUGCACAGGUGCUGCAUGGCUGUCGUCAGCUCGUGUCGUGAGAUGUUGGUUAAGUCCCGCAACGAGCGCAACCCUUGCCUUUAGUUGCCAGCAGUUCGGCUGGGCACUCUAAAGGGACUGCCGGUGUCCAACCGGAGGAAGGUGGGGAUGACGUCAAGUCCUCAUGGCCUUUAUGGCCAGGGCUACACACGUACUACAAUGGCCGGUACAAAGGGCAGCGACAUUGCGAGAUGGAGCGAAUCCCGAAAAGCCGGUCUCAGUCCGGAUUGGAGUCUGCAACUCGACUCCAUGAAGUUGGAAUCGCUAGUAAUCGUGGAUCAGCAUGCCACGGUGAAUACGUUCCCGGGCCUU
This 367-nucleotide ribosomal RNA is filed under the name uncultured Desulfobulbus sp. RNAcentral describes it as "bacterial SSU rRNA". It matches the Rfam family "Bacterial small subunit ribosomal RNA", at positions 1014 to 1382 of the family's 1533-position model. Lineage: Bacteria; Pseudomonadati; Thermodesulfobacteriota; Desulfobulbia; Desulfobulbales; Desulfobulbaceae. The record is from RNAcentral.